UUCUAUCUUGGUUUCUUCUUCAUUUUCAUUUUCACAAUUCAACCAAGAUUGAAAUUUUUUUUUCUUUGUUUUCCACUUUUCCUCCCUUUUGUUUUGUUUUGUUUUGUUGGGCACUGUCAGAUUAUAAGGAUUGUUUUGAUUCUGCCCAAGAAGAAAGCUUAUACCCAUUUGCUCUAUAAUGUGAUUGACCGGCAAGCUCCCCCCUUUCAGGUCAGGAGAUGUUCCUCUGUGAUUUUGACCAUUGAUUUAUUCGUAUGAUCCUCCAACACUGUGGCACUCAAAAGAGAUCAAGUUGGGUGAUUGACAAGAGAUUUUGGAAUAUAAGCAAGUGACAUGAGGCCCUUUAGGGUCUAUUACAAGAUCAGGCUCUCUCCAACUAAUUUUUCUAUUCAUUAGAACCGAUAAACUUGUAUUUUGAGCAAAGAAGGAGAAAAGAAGUAAAAGAGGGAUUGAAAGGUGAAAUCGGC
Rosa chinensis is the source of this 467-nucleotide long non-coding RNA. RefSeq lists it as uncharacterized. The record is from RefSeq and is a predicted model, not a curated record. The transcript has 4 exons. Lineage: Eukaryota; Viridiplantae; Streptophyta; Magnoliopsida; Rosales; Rosaceae.